GGAUCAUGGCUCAGGAUUAACGCUAGCUACAGGCUUAACACAUGCAGGUCGAGGGGAAACGACAUCGAAAGCUUGCUUUUGAUGGGCGUCGACCGGCGCACGGGUGAGUAACGCGUAUCCAACCUGCCCACCACUUGGGGAUAACCUUGCGAAAGUAAGACUAAUACCCAAUGAUAUCUCUAGAAGACAUCUGAAAGAGAUUAAAGAUUUAUCGGUGAUGGAUGGGGAUGCGU
Molecule: ribosomal RNA, 233 nt
Filed under: uncultured bacterium
Lineage: Bacteria
Description: partial 16S ribosomal RNA
Rfam family: Bacterial small subunit ribosomal RNA
Source: RNAcentral